CAAGGUGAUAUACUUUCCGGAAGCAUGUAUUAAAAUACAGUUGUUCAAAAUUAAUCAAGCUUUAAUGGUAUGUUCAGUUCAGGCACAGAUUUUCUGGGGGUUAUGCACCCCAGAAAUGAUUCGCACCCCCUCCCCAGAGGCAUUUGGCAACACCCUUAAAAGUUUUUGCAGCCCCGCAAAUUAUAUAUAUUUUGAUUUGAUAGUUUCAUAUUUGAUUAUUCUUACUACUAAAUUUGUAAAAUUACCAAUAUUAUGUUCUCAGCCAAAGCAAGCAGCAGCACCCCCCAGAUAAGGGGCUUCGGUGGCCAAGUGGUUAGCGCACUUGCCUUUCACCUCUGAGGCUGCAGGUUCGAGUCUCACUAAGUACCUUCUCAAUGCGACUCGAACCCAGUCCCCAUGUGAAAAGAGUAAAAGUCAACGCUCUGCCGAAAGCCGUGGGUUUUCCCCGGGUACUCCGGUUUCCUCCCACAGGGAAAGUUGACAGGGUGGGUUAGGUAAAAAGGGC
Paramuricea clavata is the source of this 505-nucleotide non-coding RNA. The record is from the annotation of a GenBank genome assembly. NCBI's taxonomy places the organism in Eukaryota, Metazoa, Cnidaria, Anthozoa, Malacalcyonacea, Plexauridae.